GAUGAACGCUGGCGGCGUGCCUAAUACAUGCAAGUCGAGCGAACAGACGAGGAGCUUGCUCCUUUGACGUUAGCGGCGGACGGGUGAGUAACACGUAGGUAACCUACCUAUAAGACUGGGAUAACUUCGGGAAACCGGAGCUAAUACCGGAUAAUAUUUCGAACCGCAUGGUUCGAUAGUGAAAGAUGGCUUUGCUAUCACUUAUAGAUGGACCUGCGCCGUAUUAGCUAGUUGGUAAGGUAACGGCUUACCAAGGCAACGAUACGUAGCCGACCUGAGAGGGUGAUCGGCCACACUGGAACUGAGACACGGUCCAGACUCCUACGGGAGGCAGCAGUAGGGAAUCUUCCGCAAUGGGCGAAAGCCUGACGGAGCAACGCCGCGUGAGUGAUGAAGGUCUUCGGAUCGUAAAACUCUGUUAUGAGGGAAGAACAAACGUGUAAGUAACUGUGCACGUCUUGACGGUACCUAAUCAGAAAGCCACGGCUAACUACGUG
This 497-nucleotide ribosomal RNA is filed under the name uncultured bacterium. Its description in RNAcentral is "partial 16S ribosomal RNA". It matches the Rfam family "Bacterial small subunit ribosomal RNA", at positions 28 to 507 of the family's 1533-position model. The record is from RNAcentral.